AUGCUGGAGGUAUCAGAAGUGCGAAUGCUGACAUAAGUAACGAUAAAGCGGGUGAAAAGCCCGCUCGCCGGAAGACCAAGGGUUCCUGUCCAACGUUAAUCGGGGCAGGGUGAGUCGACCCCUAAGGCGAGGCCGAAAGGCGUAGUCGAUGGGAAACAGGUUAAUAUUCCUGUACUUGGUGUUACUGCGAAGGGGGGACGGAGAAGGCUAUGUUGGCCGGGCGACGGUUGUCCCGGUUUAAGCGUGUAGGCUGGUUUUCCAGGCAAAUCCGGAAAAUCAAGGCUGAGGCGUGAUGACGAGGCACUACGGUGCUGAAGCAACAAAUGCCCUGCUUCCAGGAAAAGCCUCUAAGCAUCAGGUAACAUCAAAUCGUACCCCAAACCGACACAGGUGGUCAGGUAGAGAAUACCAAGGCGCUUGAGAGAACUCGGGUGAAGGAACUAGGCAAAAUGGUGCCGUAACUUCGGGAGAAGGCACGCUGAUAUGUAGGUGAAGUCCCUCGCGGAUGGAGCUGAAAUCAGUCGAAGAUACCAGCUGGCUGCAACUGUUUAUUAAAAACACAGCACUGUGCAAACACGAAAGUGGACGUAUACGGUGUGACGCCUGCCCGGUGCCGGAAGGUUAAUUGAUGGGGUUAGCGCAAGCGAAGCUCUUGAUCGAAGCCCCGGUAAACGGCGGCCGUAACUAUAACGGUCCUAAGGUAGCGAAAUUCCUUGUCGGGUAAGUUCCGACCUGCACGAAUGGCGUAAUGAUGGCCAGGCUGUCUCCACCCGAGACUCAGUGAAAUUGAACUCGCUGUGAAGAUGCAGUGUACCCGCGGCAAGACGGAAAGACCCCGUGAACCUUUACUAUAGCUUGACACUGAACAUUGAGCCUUGAUGUGUAGGAUAGGUGGGAGGCUUUGAAGUGUGGACGCCAGUCUGCAUGGAGCCGACCUUGAAAUACCACCCUUUAAUGUUUGAUGUUCUAACGUUGACCCGUGAUCCGGGUUGCGGACAGUGUCUGGUGGGUAGUUUGACUGGGGCGGUCUCCUCCUAAAGAGUAACGGAGGAGCACGAAGGUUGGCUAAUCCUGGUCGGACAUCAGGAGGUUAGUGCAAUGGCAUAAGCCAGCUUGACUGCGAGCGUGACGGCGCGAGCAGGUGCGAAAGCAGGUCAUAGUGAUCCGGUGGUUCUGAAUGGAAGGGCCAUCGCUCAACGGAUAAAAGGUACUCCGGGGAUAACAGGCUGAUACCGCCCAAGAGUUCAUAUCGACGGCGGUGUUUGGCACCUCGAUGUCGGCUCAUCACAUCCUGGGGCUGAAGUAGGUCCCAAGGGUAUGGCUGUUCGCCAUUUAAAGUGGUACGCGAGCUGGGUUUAGAACGUCGUGAGACAGUUCGGUCCCUAUCUGCCGUGGGCGCUGGAGAACUGAGGGGGGCUGCUCCUAGUACGAGAGGACCGGAGUGGACGCAUCACUGGUGUUCGGGUUGUCAUGCCAAUGGCACUGCCCGGUAGCUAAAUGCGGAAGAGAUAAGUGCUGAAAGCAUCUAAGCACGAAACUUGCCCCGAGAUGAGUUCUCCCUGACUCCUUGAGAGUCCUGAAGGAACGUUGAAGACGACGACGUUGAUAGGCCGGGUGUGUAAGCGCAGCGAUGCGUUGAGCUAACCGGUACUAAUGAACCGUGAGGCUUAACC
This 1673-nucleotide ribosomal RNA is filed under the name Escherichia coli. RNAcentral describes it as "bacterial LSU rRNA". It matches the Rfam family "Bacterial large subunit ribosomal RNA", at positions 1270 to 2925 of the family's 2925-position model. The record is from RNAcentral. Lineage: Bacteria; Pseudomonadati; Pseudomonadota; Gammaproteobacteria; Enterobacterales; Enterobacteriaceae.